GCUGGGUAUGAACAACGUGGCCCCCACCACCCUGGAGGGAGCCCAGAGCCCAAUAGGCAGGCCUUUGGUGUGGCCCUGCAGGCCCACAGCGACACCAUGUGGCGGCGAGAAGAAACUGCAGCAGAGUCGGCACAGGACCCCAGCUUCCAUCCUCACGUUGUGUGGACAUGGUCCAGCUUCCUGCCGCGGACCAUGAGCAAUCCAAGGGUAGGGGAGCCUCAAGAGGGAGACACUGAGCCUUUACGUAAUGAGGCAGGGAGGGGUUCAAGCAAUUAAUUGAGAAAGGAUGUGACAGGACUGGCACCUGGUCACUUUGUGGCCGUGAGCACCAGCUCCGCCUAUCCCCUCUGCAGGGCAGAAGGGACAGUGCUGCGGGAGGCGGAGGUGCUGUGGCUCUGGGAAGGCUGAAAAGGGACGGCUGCAAAGGAGAAGAGCUUCGAGUCCUUUCCAUCAGGAGAAAAACCCGGUCAGCUGUGGAGGAGCACUGCACAGGAGUCAGAAAGUGGAGUCUGGGCGUGACCUUGCACCUGACCAGCCUGGGGCUCUAGGUCCGCCACAUCUGGACUAAUCUCCUGUGUCCUGAGCUCCCAGGACCCCAGAGGCAAGCAUGGAGGGGCCACGCUGGCAGGUAAAGUUGAACCCACAGUGGCUUAGGACGAGCUCCUGCACAGCGGCCUGUUUCCCAAUUGCAUCGUGUAUCUCUUUGCCUCUCUUGGCUCAGCCAUGGCCCCAGCCCCAGGCCAUCCAAGGGGCAGCCUGGUGAGGUUUCUUCAACUUUGCUAAUGACUUGACCUACAGUCUUAAGUCAAGAAGGUGUCGCUCUCCUUUGUGAUGGCUGGACGCACAGGAGCUGUGGUCAGGAUGGGGCUAGAGGAGCUGAAAUCCCAGGGCAACAAGGGUAUUUAAAAACACAUCGCAGGAGAAACAGCUAAAGAGUCUUGGAACCAGGAAUCAUAAGCUGUUUGAUGGGAUGAACUAUCUUGGGAGUGAUGAGGUCCCCAUCACUGAAAGUAUUCAAGCAGAGAGAGUCAUGGAAUUAGGAGACGGAAGAGCAUCAGACACUGAAUGAAGUCUGCACUACAUGAGAUGAAGAACCCUUCCAGCCCUGAGGCCGAGCAGCCACUUCUCUGGAGCAGGCUGGCCCAUCUAUGUCCAGGAGGCCAGCCCCAGGCUAGCUUCUGAGCACGGGGAGCUAAGUCCUUCGCCUUCCAGAGACUGCACAAAGUGUGUGCCACCUCCACAGAACCCUCCUCAUCCACCCGAGAACUCUUCCUCACCUGACCUAAAGCUCUUCAUUUCAUACCACCUUUCAAGCGAAUUAAGGAUUAAUUGCCAGCAGCAAUCUCUGUCUUUGUUUGUUUUCUCUAAUGGAAAACCUUUCUCUCGGGAGGGUAAGGUUAUCAGUCAUUCACAGCUCAGUUGUGCUGUGUUUGAUUAGACUGGACGGCAAAGCUGAGUCCUGUUUCGGCUCUGUGCGAUCCUGGGCCCCUUGGAGCCUGUUUUCUCAUCUAUGAAAUGGGAGUAAUAAUAGUGCUUAUUGCACAGUUGUUUUAAGAACUAAAAAUUUAAAUUGCCUAGAAUGUUAUACAAACAUAAGCUGCCAUAUUUUGGAAAAAUGAGCCAAGAUCAGUGGUGCCAAGGGAAGAAUGGGCAGAGGUGAGCUGUGGGCAGCCGUGGAGGAUGGUCCACGGUGUGGCUGCCAGAGGGCAUCGGGGGCCAGGCAACUCCAGAAAGGAGCUAGGAAUGUUAGAGAAAACUGCACUAACAGCCAGCAUGCGUGAAGAACUGAUUCAUACUACACCGUGGAUGAACCUCAAGAACAUUAUUCUCGGCAAAAGCAGACAGACACAAAAGGUCACAUAGCAAAUGCUUCCGUUGAUAUGAAAUGUCCAGCACUGGCAAAUCCACAGAGACAGAAAGUAGAUUAGUAAUAGCCAGCGGCUGCAGACAGGGAAGGAGGGGAGUGAUGACUUAAUGGGUACAGGGAUUUUAUUUUGGGGUAAUGAAGAUAUUUUGGAAUGAGACAGAGCUGGUGGCUGCAUAGAGCACUAUGAAAGUGCUAAUUGCCAUUGAAUUAUUCACUUCAAAACAGUUAAUUUAACGCUAUGUGAAUUUCACCUCAAUAAAAAAGGUACAAAAUAAAAAGCCUGUUUUCCUGGACCCAUGCUCUGUGGAGUGGGCAACCAGCAGGUAGAGACAAGAAGGAAAAUGGGAUGUCAUGACCCCACUUGAAGGCAAGGUCACUAAGGCUCAGAGAGGACCAGUGUCUUGCUCAAGGUCACAGAGCACCUGUGUGACACAGCAGGACACAUGCCCAGGUCUGUCUGACUGUCAAGCCCACACCUUUCCUGUCACCACACUGUCCUUCUGGAACAUUCUUCCCCUGGGGAGAGCCAUGGCCCUUCCACCUGCCAGCUCUGAGGGGGUAUUGGCCUCUGUAAACAAAGUAAUAAAUAGCCCUGUGGGGCAGGCCGUGCAGCUAUUAGGGUGACCCUGAAACGUUCCCAGAAAAUGCCAGUAAGACCUUGGCCACCUAACCCGGAAUGGCUGAAGAGUUAAUUUUUUAUUUGUGAUAAGUGUGGCGGGCUCGGUGACAGCUCCUUGAGUGGUGUUUCCUGUGACUGGUCUGGCGUUCAAACAUUAACCUCUACCCCAGGGAGCUUAACCAUUAACCCUGCACCCUCAACGGAGAGCCCCAGCAGCCCCUCCCCCCACACAGGUGUCAGGAUAGAGUCUCGGUGCUGGGAGAGGCCCCCUGGACACCAGAUCUAGGCCUUGGCCAUUUCUCCUCUUAGUCUUUUAGGGGAUUUUUCCUCAGACAUCACACCCGCUCCACACUCCCAGAUGGAGCCCUUGGCCCUGGCUUCUGACCCCCUCAGUGGGGCAGAUCUGAAGACUUUUCCAGCAGGCAGAGUCCUUGGGCCUCUUUGGAGCUUUAAAACCAUGUUUUCAAAGUAACAGAUCCCCUUUCCUAAAUGCACACUGCAGAAGGUCACUAUGCAAAACAGAUCCCAGUGACAGCUGUUUGUGAUGGGUGGGGGGCCAGCUGAGCCACCCUUUCACCCACCUGCACGCUGGCCCUCCUUGGUUCAGCCGCCAGGGCCUGGCCAGACACCACAGCUCUUGCAAAGCCAGGGGAGCCCUUUUCUUAA
Molecule: long non-coding RNA, 3152 nt
Filed under: Homo sapiens (human)
Lineage: Eukaryota; Metazoa; Chordata; Mammalia; Primates; Hominidae
Description: HSALNT0038725
Source: RNAcentral